AUGCCAGACCUGCUUGUCUUUCCCUGCGAGGCUCUCCCUGACCUUCAGACGAAGUCAACUGGCAAGACUAUUUUACUGUGUCCCGAUCAAGCCAUUGUGCUGCUCCCACAGCCCGGGCUCCCCCUUUCUACCAUCCCCGUCCUCCCCCGAUCACUUCAGCUCCAAAGGGGUUGCACCAGGGGUAGAGUCCCACCUCUCCUACUGGUGACAGGAGGCCCGAUCCGCUGCAGAACUCAUGCCCUCUCCACCCAACCCCGAGAGGGCUGUCGGCAUGCUCUGUGCCCGGGGUGGGUAUUGCUCUGCUUGGAGCACCGCUCCUUCCUCUUCUUCAAUAUCCGUCCCGAACCCGGGAUGGACAGCGGACCGCAGCCUUCACGAUCUACAGCAGGCGACCGCGCGGAGGAGGGUCCUUCUCCUCCCUUCCUUGCCCCCGCCCUCCACCCAUCUUCUCUUGGGAUACAGACGGACCUGAAUAGGGAGGGAACGGAGAGCUCAGCCGGCGGUCCCUCCGGCCACAGUACAAUCCAAGCCGAAGGAGAAGAAAGGACGAGGCGCUACUCUCUCCCUGUUUUCGUCGCUGUCUGCCAACUCUUUCCAGGACCUAGGGAACGAGAGGGGAUGUCCAGGAAUGACCCAGAGCGGAAGACGCGGAUCGCUCCCACACCUUCCCACCUUUUGCAGGAGAGCAGACGUUUCCCCACAGACCUGAGGAUAAGCAAGGAAGCAGUGGCAAAAUACAGCAGCGGGCUAAUCCCUCCCCCAUCUCCGCCAGGCGAAGCGGCAGGGAUCCGGGCGCACGCAGACAGCGGGGGAUGGGGCAGGGGUACACACAUGGACUCGCGCAUCCCUCUGCAGGGCUGGCAGAGCCGGGGACCUUCUCCGAGACGAGCGCCGAGGGGCGAGGGCGGUGCGGGGAAGGGGCGGGGGAGCGGGAAGCAGGGGGAGGGCGAGAGCCCGGUUUCUGCAGCGGGGGGAGGAGGAAGGAGGGACCGUGUAGGUGGGAUGGUCCGGAAAUCCCGUGAUAAAAAGAGGAGCGCGGGGGAAAAGUAG
This 1050-nucleotide long non-coding RNA is filed under the name Phasianus colchicus (ring-necked pheasant). RNAcentral describes it as "lncRNA (ENSPCLG00000012920.1)". Lineage: Eukaryota; Metazoa; Chordata; Aves; Galliformes; Phasianidae. The record is from RNAcentral.